Molecule: ribosomal RNA, 320 nt
Filed under: uncultured eukaryote
Lineage: Eukaryota
Description: partial 18S ribosomal RNA
Rfam family: Eukaryotic small subunit ribosomal RNA
Source: RNAcentral
CCCCUAGAUGUUCUGGGCCGCACGCGCGCUACACUGAACAGUUCAACAAGUCUUAACCUUGGCCGAUAGGUCUGGGUAAUCUUUGAACGCUGUUCGUGAUUGGGAUAGACCUUUGCAAUUAUGGGUCUUCAACGAGGAAUUCCUAGUAAACGCAAGUCAUCAGCUUGCAUUGAUUACGUCCCUGCCCUUUGUACACACCGCCCGUCGCUCCUACCGAUUGAAUGGUCCGGUGAAAUCUCGGGACGGCGGCUCGGUCGCUUGCGUCCGACUGCUGAAACUUGAUUAAACCAUAUCAUUUAGAGGAAGGUGAAGUCGUAACA